Pistacia vera is the source of this 381-nucleotide long non-coding RNA. RefSeq lists it as uncharacterized. The transcript is spliced from 3 exons. Lineage: Eukaryota; Viridiplantae; Streptophyta; Magnoliopsida; Sapindales; Anacardiaceae. The record is from RefSeq and is a predicted model, not a curated record.
AUACUAUGGACUUGGUCUUGAGAAUGGACCUUACAACGUGAGCUUGUCCUUUGCUGAGACAGUUUUUGGUGAUCAAGGCUCACUAACAUGGAAGAGUCGUGGAAGGCGUGUUUUUGAUAUCUAUAUUCAGGGAACCCUCCGGUCAAAGGAUUUUGACAUAUCAAAGAAGACAGGUGGGGAUAGAAGAGCAACUACAGAGAAAUUUAAUCUAUGGUAACUGAGAACUAUCUUGAAAUUCACCUAUUUUGGGCUGGUAAAGGGACCUGCUGCAUCCCUACUGGAGGUAGCUAUGGGCCAUUAAUUUCAGCUCUUAGUGUCAUUCCAGAUUUCAACCAACUGUUGGUAUUGCACGAAAGAAGAACCGGACUUGGCUGAUUGUUG